This 219-nucleotide long non-coding RNA is filed under the name Gossypium raimondii (Peruvian cotton). Its description in RNAcentral is "long non-coding RNA (GRAI_LNC001386)". The record is from RNAcentral. Lineage: Eukaryota; Viridiplantae; Streptophyta; Magnoliopsida; Malvales; Malvaceae.
UCAUAAAGACUACUUAAGUACCAAGUUUUUCUCCACAAUCCAAUCCUAAACAUGCUCAUUCCCAUUACCAUAUCACUUUACUUUUUUUUAUUGAAGAGACAUUGAGCUUAUUUUAUUCAUGCUUCCUAUUUUAUUAUGUGAAAGAAAAAUACUAACUAAGAAAUAAACAUAAAAAUAAACACCUAAAAAGAAAUAAAAACUAAAAAAAAGAAUUUCCCC